This 262-nucleotide ribosomal RNA is filed under the name uncultured bacterium. Its description in RNAcentral is "partial 16S ribosomal RNA". It matches the Rfam family "Bacterial small subunit ribosomal RNA", at positions 524 to 784 of the family's 1533-position model. The record is from RNAcentral.
UACGUAGGGUGCGAGCGUUGUUCGGAAUUACUGGGCGUAAAGGGUGUGUAGGCGGACUGGUCAGCUAGAGGUGAAAGCCCGGGGCUCAACCCCGGAACUGCUUUUAGUAACUGCCAGACUAGAAAAGGUCAGAGGUCAGCGGAAUUCCUAGUGUAGAGGUGAAAUUCGUAGAUAUUAGGAGGAACACCGGCGGCGCAAGCGGCUGGCUGGGGCCAUUUUGACGCUGAGGCACGAAAGCGUGGGGAGCAAACGGGAUUAGAUA